This 253-nucleotide ribosomal RNA is filed under the name uncultured bacterium. Its description in RNAcentral is "partial 16S ribosomal RNA". It matches the Rfam family "Bacterial small subunit ribosomal RNA", at positions 524 to 776 of the family's 1533-position model. The record is from RNAcentral.
UACAGAGGGUGCAAGCGUUGUUCGGAAUUAUUGGGCGUAAAGGGCGCGCAGGCGGCUCAUUUUGUCAGGCGUGAAAGCCCCGGGCUUAACCUGGGAACGGCGCUUGGGACGGGUGGGCUAGAGAUCGGGAGAGGAGAGUGGAAUUCCCAGUGUAGAGGUGAAAUUCGUAGAUAUUGGGAAGAACACCGGUGGCGAAGGCGGCGACCUGGUCCGAUACUGACGCUGAGGCGCGAAAGCGUGGGGAGCGAACCGG